This 494-nucleotide ribosomal RNA is filed under the name uncultured bacterium. Its description in RNAcentral is "partial 16S ribosomal RNA". It matches the Rfam family "Bacterial small subunit ribosomal RNA", at positions 28 to 507 of the family's 1533-position model. The record is from RNAcentral.
GACGAACGCUGGCGGCGUGCUUAACACAUGCAAGUCGAACGGAAAGGCCUGCUAUCCCUUGUGGAUUGCGGGUACUCGAGUGGCGAACGGGUGAGUAACACGUGAGUGAUCUGCCCCCAACUUGGGUGUAAGCCUGGGAAACUGGGUCUAAUUCCCGAUAGGACUGCAGGGUGGUGCCUGUGGUGGAAAACGAUUUUCUAGUGGUUGGGGAUGAGCUCGCGGCCUAUCAGCUUGUUGGUGGGGUAAUGGCCUACCAAGGCGGCGACGGGUAGCCGGCCUGAGAGGGUGGACGGCCACAUUGGGACUGAGAUACGGCCCAGACUCCUACGGGAGGCAGCAGUGGGGAAUAUUGCACAAUGGGCGGAAGCCUGAUGCAGCGACGCCGCGUGGGGGAUGACGGCCUUCGGGUUGUAAACUCCUUUCGACCGCGAGGAAGCCACCUGGUUGGAAGGGUGGUGACGGUAGUGGUAGAAGAAGCACCGGCUAACUACGUG